AGUGAACGCUGGCGGCAGGCCUAACACAUGCAAGUCGAGCGGCAGCGCGUCCGACCACCCUCGGGUGGUCGGAUGGCGGCGAGCGGCGGACGGGUGAGGAAUGCAUCGGAAUCUGCCUCGUUGUGGGGGGAUAACGUAGGGAAACUUACGCUAAUACCGCAUACGACCUACGGGUGAAAGUGGGGGACCUUCGGGCCUCACGCGAUGAGAUGAGCCGAUGCCGGAUUAGCUAGUUGGCGGGGUAAAGGCCCACCAAGGCGACGAUCCGUAGCUGGUCUGAGAGGAUGAUCAGCCACACUGGAACUGAGACACGGUCCAGACUCCUACGGGAGGCAGCAGUGGGGAAUAUUGGACAAUGGGGGCAACCCUGAUCCAGCCAUGCCGCGUGUGUGAAGAAGGCCUUCGGUUGUAAGACACUUUGUUGGGUAAGGAAACCGGACCGGGUUAACGU
RNAcentral lists this ribosomal RNA (451 nucleotides) under uncultured bacterium. Its description in RNAcentral is "bacterial SSU rRNA". It matches the Rfam family "Bacterial small subunit ribosomal RNA", at positions 30 to 475 of the family's 1533-position model. The record is from RNAcentral.